This 831-nucleotide ribosomal RNA is filed under the name Campylobacter jejuni. RNAcentral describes it as "bacterial SSU rRNA". It matches the Rfam family "Bacterial small subunit ribosomal RNA", at positions 617 to 1447 of the family's 1533-position model. Lineage: Bacteria; Pseudomonadati; Campylobacterota; Epsilonproteobacteria; Campylobacterales; Campylobacteraceae. The record is from RNAcentral.
UAAACUGCUUGGGAAACUGAUAGUCUAGAGUGAGGGAGAGGCAGAUGGAAUUGGUGGUGUAGGGGUAAAAUCCGUAGAUAUCACCAAGAAUACCCAUUGCGAAGGCGAUCUGCUGGAACUCAACUGACGCUAAGGCGCGAAAGCGUGGGGAGCAAACAGGAUUAGAUACCCUGGUAGUCCACGCCCUAAACGAUGUACACUAGUUGUUGGGAUGCUAGUCAUCUCAGUAAUGCAGCUAACGCAUUAAGUGUACCGCCUGGGGAGUACGGUCGCAAGAUUAAAACUCAAAGGAAUAGACGGGGACCCGCACAAGCGGUGGAGCAUGUGGUUUAAUUCGAAGAUACGCGAAGAACCUUACCUGGGCUUGAUAUCCUAAGAACCUUAUAGAGAUAUGAGGGUGCUAGCUUGCUAGAACUUAGAGACAGGUGCUGCACGGCUGUCGUCAGCUCGUGUCGUGAGAUGUUGGGUUAAGUCCCGCAACGAGCGCAACCCACGUAUUUAGUUGCUAACGGUUCGGCCGAGCACUCUAAAUAGACUGCCUUCGUAAGGAGGAGGAAGGUGUGGACGACGUCAAGUCAUCAUGGCCCUUAUGCCCAGGGCGACACACGUGCUACAAUGGCAUAUACAAUGAGACGCAAUACCGCGAGGUGGAGCAAAUCUAUAAAAUAUGUCCCAGUUCGGAUUGUUCUCUGCAACUCGAGAGCAUGAAGCCGGAAUCGCUAGUAAUCGUAGAUCAGCCAUGCUACGGUGAAUACGUUCCCGGGUCUUGUACUCACCGCCCGUCACACCAUGGGAGUUGAUUUCACUCGAAGCCGGAAUACUAAACUAGUU